This 77-nucleotide transfer RNA is filed under the name Bacteroidota bacterium. Its description in RNAcentral is "Bacteroidetes bacterium (activated sludge metagenome) tRNA-Arg". It matches the Rfam family "tRNA". Rfam says of the family: Transfer RNA (tRNA) molecules are approximately 80 nucleotides in length. Their secondary structure includes four short double-helical elements and three loops (D, anti-codon, and T loops). Further hydrogen bonds mediate the characteristic L-shaped molecular structure. tRNAs have two regions of fundamental functional importance: the anti-codon, which is responsible for specific mRNA codon recognition, and the 3' end, to which the tRNAs corresponding amino acid is attached (by aminoacyl-tRNA synthetases). tRNAs cope with the degeneracy of the genetic code in two manners: having more than one tRNA (with a specific anti-codon) for a particular amino acid; and 'wobble' base-pairing, i.e. permitting non-standard base-pairing at the 3rd anti-codon position. The record is from RNAcentral. Lineage: Bacteria; Pseudomonadati; Bacteroidota.
UGGCCCCGUAGUUCAAUGGAUAGAAUAGAAGUUUCCUAAACUUUAGAUCCAAGUUCGAUUCUUGGCGAGGCUACCCA